This is a long non-coding RNA of Ictalurus punctatus (channel catfish), 979 nucleotides long. The record is from Ensembl. NCBI's taxonomy places the organism in Eukaryota, Metazoa, Chordata, Actinopteri, Siluriformes, Ictaluridae.
GUUUUAUCACCAUGGCAACUUAAACUUCCCGUCUAACCUGCUCUGGAGCAGGUUUUAUUCUGGGUCUCCCAGAACUGUCUCCAUGAGCCCCUGAAACGUUGCGGGAGCAUUUUUGAGCCCAAACCUUUGAGCCUGCAGGAGUGAUGAAGUGAUGAAAUGAUGACGGCUGCUCCUAACGCCAUACAGACUUCAUAUAAAUCCAUAAUGAACUUUUUCACACUAACUGUUGUUACCCAGAUGAGGAUGGGUUCCCUUCUGAGUCGGGUUCCUCUCAAGGUUUCUUCCUCUUAAAACAUCUUAGGGAGUUUUUCCUUGCCACCGUCGCCACUCAGUGGCUUGCUCAGUUGGGAUAAAUUCGCACCUUUAAUAUCUGUAUACCAUGUUGAUAUUUCUGUAAAGCUGCUUUGAGACAAUGUCUAUUGUAAAAAGCGCUAUACAAAUAAAAUUGAAUUGAAUUGAAUUGAAUUGAAUGAAGGCCAUCUUGGCUUUGCUGUUGACAAAACACAAUACAAUCUCAAAGAUCAGCGAUAACCAUUAAGCUUCCAUUAAGCUUAAAACAAUGAAUUAGCACGGAUAAGAAAUAAACCAAUGUGUGAAUGGGAAUGAAGUGUGGGUGUGUCUGAGUGUGUGAAUGAGUGUUGGUGUGAGAUCGCGGCGUCCGGGCACACUGACCGAUUUGGAGGAUGGGAUGGCAACUGGAGAAUGUAAUCAGCCCUCGUCAGGCUCCAAGAAGGGAGGUAACAGGCCUUGAACUUGUCUUUGAACAGCUCACCACGAACAGCCAUUUGUACAAGUGCUCUGUGUCGCACUGGACUGCAUGCACAGAAAGCAUUAGAUCAAAAGCGGCCGUCUCCCCACUCCACACAGUAACCAUAUCUUUUCCUCUCACUUGACAACCUUCUCACGAGCCAAGCCAACCUCGACUGGUGCCCGUCCUCUUUUCACCUCAUAGGUGAAAUAGGCCUCGCCUCCAUUUCCC